This 442-nucleotide ribosomal RNA is filed under the name uncultured bacterium. Its description in RNAcentral is "bacterial SSU rRNA". It matches the Rfam family "Bacterial small subunit ribosomal RNA", at positions 28 to 479 of the family's 1533-position model. The record is from RNAcentral.
GACGAACGCUGGCGGCGUGCUUAACACAUGCAAGUCAAGGGGGCCCAGCAAUGGGCAACCGGCGAACGGGUGCGUAACACGUGAGCAACCUACCGAACUGUGGGGGGAUAGCCGGCCUAACGGCCGAGUAAUACCGCAUACGCUCUCAGUGAGGCAUUUCAUUGAGAGGAAACCUACGGGACAGAUCGAGGGGCUCGCGGCCUAUCAGCUAGUUGGCGAGGUAACGGCUCACCAAGGCAACGACGGGUAGCUGGUCUGAGAGGAUGGCCAGCCACAUUGGGACUGAGAUACGGCCCAGACUCCUACGGGAGGCAGCAGUGGGGAAUCUUGCGCAAUGGCCUAACGGCUGACGCAGCGACGCCGCGUGUGGGAUGAAGCUCUUCGGAGUGUAAACCACUGUUGCCCGGGACGAACAGCUCGAUUUCUCGAGCCUGACGGUACC